AUUGAACGCUGGCGGCAGGCCUAACACAUGCAAGUCGAGCGGAUGAAGGGAGCUUGCUCCUGGAUUCAGCGGCGGACGGGUGAGUAAUGCCUAGGAAUCUGCCUGGUAGUGGGGGAUAACGUCCGGAAACGGGCGCUAAUACCGCAUACGUCCUGAGGGAGAAAGUGGGGGAUCUUCGGACCUCACGCUAUCAGAUGAGCCUAGGUCGGAUUAGCUAGUUGGUGGGGUAAAGGCCUACCAAGGCGACGAUCCGUAACUGGUCUGAGAGGAUGAUCAGUCACACUGGAACUGAGACACGGUCCAGACUCCUACGGGAGGCAGCAGUGGGGAAUAUUGGACAAUGGGCGAAAGCCUGAUCCAGCCAUGCCGCGUGUGUGAAGAAGGCCUUCGGAUUGUAAAGCACUUUAAGUUGGGAGGAAGGGCAGUAAGUUAAUACCUUGCUGUUCUGACGUUACCAACAGAAUAAGCACCGGCUAACUUCGUG
RNAcentral lists this ribosomal RNA (484 nucleotides) under uncultured bacterium. RNAcentral's name for it is "partial 16S ribosomal RNA". It matches the Rfam family "Bacterial small subunit ribosomal RNA", at positions 30 to 507 of the family's 1533-position model. The record is from RNAcentral.